RNAcentral lists this ribosomal RNA (305 nucleotides) under uncultured bacterium. RNAcentral's name for it is "bacterial SSU rRNA". It matches the Rfam family "Bacterial small subunit ribosomal RNA", at positions 333 to 652 of the family's 1533-position model. The record is from RNAcentral.
UUGAUCCUACGGGGGGCAGCAGUGGGGAAUAUUGGGCAAUGGGCGCAAGCCUGACCCAGCAACGCCGCGUGAAGGAAGAAGGCCCUCGGGUUGUAAACUUCUUUUGUCAGGGACGAAGCAAGUGACGGUACCUGACGAAUAAGCCACGGCUAACUACGUGCCAGCAGCCGCGGUAAUACGUAGGGGGCAAGCGUUAUCCGGAUUUACUGGGUGUAAAGGGCGUGUAGGCGGGAAAGCAAGUCAGAUGUGAAAACCAUGGGAUCAACCUGUGGCCUGCAUUUGAAACUGUUUUUCUUGAGUACUGG